RNAcentral lists this ribosomal RNA (443 nucleotides) under uncultured bacterium. RNAcentral's name for it is "partial 16S ribosomal RNA". It matches the Rfam family "Bacterial small subunit ribosomal RNA", at positions 338 to 795 of the family's 1533-position model. The record is from RNAcentral.
CCUACGGGAGGCUGCAGUGGGGGAUAUUGGACAAUGGGGGGAACCCUGAUCCAGCGACGCCGCGUGAGUGAAGACGUAUUUCGGUAUGUAAAGCUCUGUCAGCAGGGAAGAAAGAAAUGACGGUACCUGACCAAGAAGCCCCGGCUAACUACGUGCCAGCAGCCGCGGUAAUACGUAGGGGGCAAGCGUUAUCCGGAAUUACUGGGUGUAAAGGGAGCGUAGACGGUUAAGUAAGUCUGGAGUGAAAGGCCGGGGCCCAACCCCGGGACUGCUCUGGAAACUAUUGAACUUGAGUGCAGGGGAGGUAAGCGGAAUUCCUAGUGUAGCGGUGAAAUGCGUAGAUAUUAGGAGGAACACCAGUGGCGAAGGCGGCUUACUGGACUGUAACUGACGUUGAGGCACGAAAGCGUGGGUAUCGAACAGGAUUAGAUACCCCUGUAGUC